GUUGACACAUCACAAACAUGUCAGUUGUCAAAGAAAAUGGCGUCAGUGCGGUGACGUCUUUCUUUUGUCUGUGCAAUUUGUCGCAGAAAAAUAAAGAAAUGGGCACAAUUUCUCCACCAAAAGUUGUUUGGAGAUGCCCUACGUUCGUGAAGUGCGUUGGAAGUGAUAGUGAUGGUGUGAAAGGGAUGUUGGUGUUCAGUGAAAAGUGAAAGACAUCCCUUGACUCUUGUGGCUGUCAAAAAUGCAUCAAAAGACUCCAAUAUGAGGCUGGUUGACUUCUCCGGAUCCUGCGUCAUCUCGAUCUCAGGACAAAUUGUGUCAUCUUGUAACUGGUGCCAAGACAAUCAGAAAAUGCAUGUGUGCUGGUGAAAUUGCUCCUCCAGGGAGGAAUUUUGUCAAUUUGGAUGCCAGACAAAAUCUACAAAUGAAGACACCCUACUAAAGAAUCUACUACAAAGGAAGACACUCUGGGUGCUGGAGGUAAGCUGCUCAAGCUGCAGAGAGCUGAAAGUUAUGCGAUCUCAUACGACAAGAUGCCACAAGAGAGAGAGGGGAGGAUUGGAGAUCAGCAUUCCCCGUCAGAAAUCAUCAAGAAGAUUACAUUGAUCAUCGACGUAGUAUAUCGAGGUGACCAUUGCUGGGAUUGAAGGUGGUUUCCAGACCACUACCGGAAAGAGAUAAAUAAAUUCGCGGAUGAUGGUGUGGUUUCAGGUGAUUCAGGUGGUUCUGAUGGUUCAGGUGAGCUUAAUAUAAAAUUUUAUAGGUUAACCCUUUAAGGACAAGAAGGUCGAAAAUUGGGGGUGCAGAAAAAAUAAUUUUUAGUGACUUCUGCGAGCGAAACAUAACUUUAGACGGGCGUAGGAAAGAUAUCUCUUUUUGGGUAACCGGAGUCACCGGUAAUCCCAUCGUCCUUAGAGGGUUAAAAGUUUAUACAGAAAAUUUUAUAUUCGCGUCUGAUCAGUCCAGCCACAUAAUUCAAAAUGAUCAGUAAGAAAAAGGUCAGUAAAAAAAGGGCACAAAAAAGUUUAAAAAGAUCAGUAAAAAGAAAUUAAAUUGAAAAUCAGUGAAAAAUAAAAUACGGUCAGUAAAAAAUUUAAAAUGAGCAGUAAAAAAUAAAAUUUUAUCAGUUUAAAAUGCAAAGCGGUCAGCGAAAAUUAAAAAGUGGUCAGUAAAAAAUUAAAAUUGGUCAGUAAGAAAUUAAAUAUGAGAAGUAAAAAAAAUAAACUGUGGGCAAUAAAAAAUAAAAA
This is a long non-coding RNA of Phlebotomus papatasi, 1247 nucleotides long. RefSeq lists it as uncharacterized. The record is from RefSeq and is a predicted model, not a curated record. The transcript has 2 exons. Lineage: Eukaryota; Metazoa; Arthropoda; Insecta; Diptera; Psychodidae.